Molecule: long non-coding RNA, 779 nt
Organism: Oreochromis aureus
Lineage: Eukaryota; Metazoa; Chordata; Actinopteri; Cichliformes; Cichlidae
Source: Ensembl
GCUCUCCCUCUUGCUGUGUGCUCUGUGUGCUCCAUGUUCCUCAGUUUCAAUGUAGUUUGAACUUAAUUCUCGAGUUGUUGAUUUUUGCCUCAUCAAAUUGUUUUGUAUUACUUAUUUUCAGAGGUGGGAAGCACAAAUACUUCGUUACUGUGCUGAAGAACAAUUUUCAGCAGAAUGAGUGGAAGCUUCCUCUCCAAAGAGCCUCAGGCAUACCUGCCUCACCCAGAGUCAGACCAGGCUGAGCACAUAGCCGGAUACACGUAGAGUGGAGCUAAGGGGAUGGAUGAUCUUGGUCUUGAGAAUGUGAGGUGCAGAAGUGGACCAGAGCAGCUGCUAUGGAAUCGAGGGAGAGAAAGAGAAGGCAAGAGAAGAGGAAAGAGAGAAGUUUCUUCUGACUUGCUGCCAUGUCAUGUAGUUCUCCCAUAAAUCUCUGUCCCAUAGAGAGGAACAGGGAGAGAGAGGGGGGGUGAGAAAGCAGCUUGCGUUUGCAUUUCAUUCGCAUGGCUUUCUCUCCAUUCUGCCCUUCCUCCCCUCCCCUAGCGCUGUUUAUUUUCAGCCCUCCACAUACUCCGAAGGCCUGUGAAGUAAUUAUUUCAUAAAGUUACACCUCUGCUGUCACAGAUGACCACAGUUGGCCAGCACUUAAAAAGCCUGAGCUAAUGAUUAAUGUUUGAAGGCAGGCAGCCAGGGAAAAUCACGGCCUACCUCAAUUUGUAGAAAUGCCUUCUGCAUGACAAAUAGAUGGAAGGGGCACCAAGGGCAUCAGACGCAGAAAAACG